RNAcentral lists this ribosomal RNA (276 nucleotides) under uncultured bacterium. RNAcentral describes it as "partial 16S ribosomal RNA". It matches the Rfam family "Bacterial small subunit ribosomal RNA", at positions 82 to 354 of the family's 1533-position model. The record is from RNAcentral.
CCGUUGCCGGCGACCGGCGCACGGGUGAGUAACACGUAUGCAACCUGCCCGUGGCAGGGGGAUAAGCGGGGGAAACCCCGUCUAAUACCGCGUAACGCGGCCUUGGGGCAUCCCAAGGCCGCCAAAGGGAGCAAUCCCGGCCACGGAUGGGCAUGCGGCGCAUUAGCUAGUCGGCGGGGUAACGGCCCACCGUGGCGACGAUGCGUAGGGGUUCUGAGAGGAAGGUCCCCCACACUGGUACUGAGACACGGACCAGACUCCUACGGAAGGCAGCAG